CUCUAAUUAGGAAGAGAUGCACGUCAGCCACCAGCUGCAUGAGCUGAUUAGUGAGCACAGAGAGAGAAUGCUGCUGAACAGGAUUGAUUUGUCUGAGCUGACCCAUCUCACCUGAGAGCUGGAGUUGCAGGAAGGCACGAGGCAGGAAUUGGAGUCAGAAGGCAAAUGGCAAGUGCAGAUUUAUGGAAUGACACAGGAAAAUAUUGAAACCUUUGGUGCCUGUGAGGGGGUUUUCAGGUGUACAAAGGGUCUCCACAAACGAUGCACGUCACCUUCGAGGGGGUGGUCACCUGUGGGGAGACGUGGAGAAGAACGGC
Molecule: long non-coding RNA, 317 nt
Filed under: Equus asinus (donkey)
Lineage: Eukaryota; Metazoa; Chordata; Mammalia; Perissodactyla; Equidae
Description: lncRNA (ENSEASG00005025838.1)
Source: RNAcentral